This 339-nucleotide long non-coding RNA is filed under the name Sorghum bicolor (sorghum). Its description in RNAcentral is "long non-coding RNA (SBIC_LNC018559)". The record is from RNAcentral. Lineage: Eukaryota; Viridiplantae; Streptophyta; Magnoliopsida; Poales; Poaceae.
CGACACAUCUUUAUCUUUUUCUACAAUUAAAUUUUUUUCGUUUCUCACCUUAGACAUUCAUUCGGAGCUUUCGGAGUAUUUUUUUUGCAGCUUAAACAGUAAAUCAGGACUUUUGUAGAAUUAUUUUAUUCACGAAAGUAAUUAAUCCUGAAAAGUAAUAAAAUAUCUAUUUUUUUUCUAAACGCUCAAAGCAUUUGUACUCGAUUGGUCAUGUGAGCUGAUAGCCUAGCAAAGGUCAGUUAGCCGAACAGAGCGUACACAUAUUUACCUGCACGUACACGUAUCAGACUCGAUUUGUAAGCCGGGCUGAGUGUCCACGUACGUAAUAUGAUUUGGAGU